GAUGAACGCUGGCGGCGUGCCUAAUACAUGCAAGUCGAGCGAAUGGAUUAAGAGCUUGCUCUUAUGAAGUUAGCGGCGGACGGGUGAGUAACACGUGGGUAACCUGCCCAUAAGACUGGGAUAACUCCGGGAAACCGGGGCUAAUACCGGAUAAUAUUUUGAACUGCAUGGUUCAAAAUUGAAAGGCGGCUUCGGCUGUCACUUAUGGAGGGACCCGCGUCGCAUUAGCUAGUUGGUGAGGUAACGGCUCACCAAGGCAACGAUGCGUAGCCGACCUGAGAGGGUGAUCGGCCACACUGGGACUGAGACACGGCCCAGACUCCUACGGGAGGCAGCAGUAGGGAAUCUUCCGCAAUGGACGAAAGUCUGACGGAGCAACGCCGCGUGAGUGAUGAAGGCUUUCGGGUCGUAAAACUCUGUUGCUAGGGAAGAACAAGUGCUAGUUGAAUAAGCUGGCACCUUGACGGUACCUAACCAGAAAGCCACGGCUAACUACGUGCCAGCCGCCGCGGUAA
This 515-nucleotide ribosomal RNA is filed under the name uncultured bacterium. Its description in RNAcentral is "partial 16S ribosomal RNA". It matches the Rfam family "Bacterial small subunit ribosomal RNA", at positions 28 to 523 of the family's 1533-position model. The record is from RNAcentral.